Molecule: long non-coding RNA, 402 nt
Organism: Mya arenaria
Lineage: Eukaryota; Metazoa; Mollusca; Bivalvia; Myida; Myidae
Exons: 3
Source: RefSeq, a predicted model, not a curated record
UCUUUGUUAAUUUUAUAUGUGUAGAAUAUUUUUCUAGCCUUAAUCUUCGUAAUUCAAAAUAAAACAAUAACAACAGUUUGAUACACAGGGGAGUAUCACGUGAUCGCUAAAGUACAUUGGCCGUACAAGAUGGCGAAUAUUUCGACCGCAUCAAUACAUAAAUUCGGCGUUUACGGAUGGUAAAUGUUAAGAUUAUGCUGCACAACAAGUUUGUCCCUACUUAAUACGCUUUCUAGACAAUAUAUGAAUUGAGUCGGAUUAAGAUUUCGUAUAUGACGGAAGAAGUCAACACUUUCGCUUCAUAGACCCAAACAAAAACGAACUGGAAGAAAUACCUCUAAACGAGGCAUGCAAAAUGAUUUAAACCAUGAAACAAAAAAUACAACUACAAUCUGCACUCAC